Molecule: ribosomal RNA, 1432 nt
Filed under: uncultured organism
Description: 16S ribosomal RNA
Rfam family: Bacterial small subunit ribosomal RNA
Source: RNAcentral
UUAACACAUGCAAGUCGAGGGGCAGCAUGGUCUUAGCUUGCUAAGGCCGAUGGCGACCGGCGCACGGGUGAGUAACACGUAUCCAACCUGCCGUCUACUCUUGGACAGCCUUCUGAAAGGAAGAUUAAUACAAGAUGGCAUCAUGAGUCCGCAUGUUCACAUGAUUAAAGGUAUUCCGGUAGACGAUGGGGAUGCGUUCCAUUAGAUAGUAGGCGGGGUAACGGCCCACCUAGUCUUCGAUGGAUAGGGGUUCUGAGAGGAAGGUCCCCCACAUUGGAACUGAGACACGGUCCAAACUCCUACGGGAGGCAGCAGUGAGGAAUAUUGGUCAAUGGGCGAGAGCCUGAACCAGCCAAGUAGCGUGAAGGAUGACUGCCCUAUGGGUUGUAAACCUCUUUUAUAAAGGAAUAAAGUCGGGUAUGGAUACCCGUUUGCAUGUACUUUAUGAAUAAGGAUCGGCUAACUCCGUGCCAGCAGCCGCGGUAAUACGGAGGAUCCGAGCGUUAUCCGGAUUUAUUGGGUUUAAAGGGAGCGUAGAUGGAUGUUUAAGUCAGUUGUGAAAGUUUGCGGCUCAACCGUAAAAUUGCAGUUGAUACUGGAUAUCUUGAGUGCAGUUGAGGCAGGCGGAAUUCGUGGUGUAGCGGUGAAAUGCUUAGAUAUCACGAAGAACUCCGAUUGCGAAGGCAGCCUGCUAAGCUGCAACUGACAUUGAGGCUCGAAAGUGUGGGUAUCAAACAGGAUUAGAUACCCUGGUAGUCCACACGGUAAACGAUGAAUACUCGCUGUUUGCGAUAUACUGCAAGCGGCCAAGCGAAAGCGUUAAGUAUUCCACCUGGGGAGUACGCCGGCAACGGUGAAACUCAAAGGAAUUGACGGGGGCCCGCACAAGCGGAGGAACAUGUGGUUUAAUUCGAUGAUACGCGAGGAACCUUACCCGGGCUUAAAUUGCAGAUGAAUUACGGUGAAAGCCGUAAGCCGCAAGGCAUCUGUGAAGGUGCUGCAUGGUUGUCGUCAGCUCGUGCCGUGAGGUGUCGGCUUAAGUGCCAUAACGAGCGCAACCCUUGUUGUCAGUUACUAACAGGUUCCGCUGAGGACUCUGACAAGACUGCCAUCGUAAGAUGUGAGGAAGGUGGGGAUGACGUCAAAUCAGCACGGCCCUUACGUCCGGGGCUACACACGUGUUACAAUGGGGGGUACAGAGGGCCGCUACCACGCGAGUGGAUGCCAAUCCCCAAAACCUCUCUCAGUUCGGACUGGAGUCUGCAACCCGACUCCACGAAGCUGGAUUCGCUAGUAAUCGCGCAUCAGCCACGGCGCGGUGAAUACGUUCCCGGGCCUUGUACACACCGCCCGUCAAGCCAUGGGAGCCGGGGGUACCUGAAGUGCGUAACCGCGAGGAGCGCCCUAGGGUAAAACUGGUGACUGGGGCUAA